Molecule: non-coding RNA, 927 nt
Organism: Oryza sativa Japonica Group (Japanese rice)
Lineage: Eukaryota; Viridiplantae; Streptophyta; Magnoliopsida; Poales; Poaceae
Source: RefSeq, a predicted model, not a curated record
GAGGGGAGCAAGAUCAGCAUUGCUACGCGGUGGGGCGCAGGAGUCCCGAAUCCGAGCGGCAUCGAGUUGGUGUUGAGAGUUUCAGAAGUUCAGAAUAUUCAGAGUUGCAGUCAUCUGAACGAAGAACAAUAAGAUAUAUGGAAAUCAAAGGACAAGUGCCAUUUCAACAUACCGAGAUGUCCAAUUUUCUGUCCACAAUGCAGGCUUGUUAGGUGAGUUUGGUCCAACAAAUGUUUCUCCGCAAAUGAGCCCAUUACAGGUAGCCAUGUGGAAAAUCAUGUGAAUUGCUGUAAGCAUGACACUAACAACUGGAUCUGGAGCAUCAUUCUGCUUGCACAUCAUCCAUGGAACACCUGUUUGGAGACCAACAGCCAUUGCAGCUGCCCAACGGACAUAACGUGGUCCACUUGCGCCAAAUGCAGGCUCAAUCAUCUGACAAACAUAUCAGACUGGAAAGAGUGAAUACCUGACCCUGGAUAGGCUCGUGAACGUUCCAGAAGACAUAGGUUUGUAUCACAUCGAGGCCACCGUUCUUUGCUUUUGCUAUGAGUUUUGGCCACAUCUGCCAAUUUAUUGUGCACAAACAUCCUAAUAAAUGAUUUAUGUGAUGAAUUGGAAAGCUUGGCAAACCAGAGAAUUGCUCCAAGGAAAGCCGGAAAUGCUAUCGAAGUUCAUAGUGAUUGUUGCUUGAAAAUUGUCCCAAAUAACCAGACCUUUAGGCUAUAUAGGGUGCAUGUUUUUGAUGACUCAAACGCUGAGUGUAAUUAUUUGUGCUUUCCACUUUAUAUAACACGCUGAGCUAGAAUGUAAUUCUGGGAAAUAGAUGCAUGUCUCAAAACUGCUACUUCUCUGGAAAGAGGAAACCAAUAUCUAUUAAGCUGUUAGUUAUCUGAAAAGAGGAAACCAAUAUCUAUUCAUCCUCGUCAA